UACGGAGGAUGCAAGCGUUAUCCGGAAUCAUUGGGCGUAAAGGGUCCUGAGGUGGCCUGCCCAGUCCGCUGUGAAAGAUCAGGGCUCAACCCUGAAUAUGCGGUGGAAACUAGCAGGCUAGAAUACGGUAGGGGCAGGGGGAAUUCCCGGUGUAGCGGUGAAAUGCAUAGAUAUCGGGAAGAACACCAACGGCGAAGGCACCCUGCUGGGCCGAUAUUGACACUGACAGACGAGAGCUAGGGGAGCGAAUGGG
Molecule: ribosomal RNA, 253 nt
Filed under: uncultured bacterium
Lineage: Bacteria
Description: partial 16S ribosomal RNA
Rfam family: Bacterial small subunit ribosomal RNA
Source: RNAcentral